RNAcentral lists this transfer RNA (73 nucleotides) under Aphanopus carbo (black scabbardfish). RNAcentral's name for it is "tRNA-Asp". It matches the Rfam family "tRNA". Rfam says of the family: Transfer RNA (tRNA) molecules are approximately 80 nucleotides in length. Their secondary structure includes four short double-helical elements and three loops (D, anti-codon, and T loops). The record is from RNAcentral. Lineage: Eukaryota; Metazoa; Chordata; Actinopteri; Scombriformes; Trichiuridae.
AAGGUACUAGUAAAACUAGUUAUUACGCCUCCUUGUCGAGGAGGGGUUUCAGGUUAAACCCCUGAGUAUCUUA